This 97-nucleotide transfer RNA is filed under the name Sulfobacillus sp. RNAcentral's name for it is "tRNA-Ser". The stretch from base 7 to 88 matches the Rfam family "tRNA", at positions 5 to 66 of the family's 71-position model. Rfam says of the family: Transfer RNA (tRNA) molecules are approximately 80 nucleotides in length. Their secondary structure includes four short double-helical elements and three loops (D, anti-codon, and T loops). Lineage: Bacteria; Bacillati; Bacillota; Clostridia; Eubacteriales; Clostridiales Family XVII. Incertae Sedis. The record is from RNAcentral.
CCGGAGGGGUGGCCGAGUGGUUUAAGGCGCACGCCUGGAAAGCGUGUUGGUGGGCCAAAUCCUGCCUCGAGGGUUCGAAUCCCUCCUCNNUAGGCCA